RNAcentral lists this ribosomal RNA (91 nucleotides) under Acanthosepion pharaonis. The record is from RNAcentral. Lineage: Eukaryota; Metazoa; Mollusca; Cephalopoda; Sepiida; Sepiidae.
GAAACACUGGAAACGAUCACCGAAGUUAAGCAACGUCGAGCCUGGUCAGUACCUAGAUGGGUGACCGCUUGGGAAUACCUGGUGCUGUAAG